GACGAACGCUGGCGGCGUGCCUAAUACAUGCAAGUUGAGCGCUGAAGGUUGGUACUUGUACCAACUGGAUGAGCAGCGAACGGGUGAGUAACGCGUGGGGAAUCUGCCUUUGAGCGGGGGACAACAUUUGGAAACGAAUGCUAAUACCGCAUAAAAACUUUAAACACAAGUUUUAAGUUUGAAAGAUGCAAUUGCAUCACUCAAAGAUGAUCCCGCGUUGUAUUAGCUAGUUGGUGAGGUAAAGGCUCACCAAGGCGAUGAUACAUAGCCGACCUGAGAGGGUGAUCGGCCACAUUGGGAAUGAGACCCGGCCCAAACUCCCACGGGAGGCAGCAGUAGGGAAUCUUCGGCAAUGGACGAAAGUCUGACCGAGCAACGCCGCGUGAGUGAAGAAGGUUUUCGGAUCGUAAAACUCUGUUGGUAGAGAAGAACGUUGGUGAGAGUGGAAAGCUCAUCAAGUGACGGUAACUACACAGAAAGGGACGGCUAACUACGUG
This 497-nucleotide ribosomal RNA is filed under the name uncultured bacterium. RNAcentral's name for it is "partial 16S ribosomal RNA". It matches the Rfam family "Bacterial small subunit ribosomal RNA", at positions 28 to 507 of the family's 1533-position model. The record is from RNAcentral.